This is a non-coding RNA of Vicia faba (fava bean), 264 nucleotides long. Lineage: Eukaryota; Viridiplantae; Streptophyta; Magnoliopsida; Fabales; Fabaceae. The record is from the annotation of a GenBank genome assembly.
AUGAGAAACUCGUUGAGCAUUACCGCUGAGCUUACCUCCCUUUGGCCCUCUACACCAUUUUUAUCAAACCAUUUGCCUAGCACACAAAAAACUCAUAUUGAAUCCUUAUGUUGGGGCUCUAACGCCUUUGCUUUGCUAUACACCAAGUUCAUGCUUUACACCCUCCUUUUUAUUUGCUUGCCUUAUUUUUAUUUUAUUUUCUCUUUAUUAAAUAUUCUUUUAAUAUUUAUUUUCAUAAAAAAAAAUAUUAGAAUAGGAUUUUAA